GAUGAACGCUGGCGGCGUGCCUAAUACAUGCAAGUCGAGCGAACAGACGAGGAGCUUGCUCCUCUGACGUUAGCGGCGGACGGGUGAGUAACACGUGGAUAACCUACCUAUAAGACUGGGAUAACUUCGGGAAACCGGAGCUAAUACCGGAUAAUAUAUUGAACCGCAUGGUUCAAUAGUGAAAGACGGUUUUGCUGUCACUUAUAGAUGGAUCCGCGCCGCAUUAGCUAGUUGGUAAGGUAACGGCUUACCAAGGCAACGAUGCGUAGCCGACCUGAGAGGGUGAUCCGCCACACUAGAACUGAGACACGGUCCAGACUCCUACGGGAGGCAGCAGUAGGGAAUCUUCCGCAAUGGGCGAAAGCCUGACGGAGCAACGCCGCGUGAGUGAUGAAGGUCUUCGGAUCGUAAAACUCUGUUAUUAGGGAAGAACAAAUGUGUAAGUAACUAUGCACGUCUUGACGGUACCUAAUCAGAAAGCCACGGCUAACUACGUG
This 497-nucleotide ribosomal RNA is filed under the name uncultured bacterium. Its description in RNAcentral is "partial 16S ribosomal RNA". It matches the Rfam family "Bacterial small subunit ribosomal RNA", at positions 28 to 507 of the family's 1533-position model. The record is from RNAcentral.